This 488-nucleotide ribosomal RNA is filed under the name Dacus humeralis. Its description in RNAcentral is "partial 16S ribosomal RNA". The record is from RNAcentral. Lineage: Eukaryota; Metazoa; Arthropoda; Insecta; Diptera; Tephritidae.
GUCUUUUUGAGUUAUUUUUAAAGUCUGACCUGCCCACUGAAUUUUUUUUAAAUGGCCGCAGUAUUCUAACUGUGCAAAGGUAGCAUAAUCAUUAGUCUUUUAAUUGAAGGCUGGUAUGAACGGUUGGACGAGGUAUAAGCUGUUUCAUGUAAAUUUAUAGUAGAAUUUUAUAUUUUAGUCAAAAAGCUAAAAUGUAAUUAAAAGACGAGAAGACCCUAUAAAUCUUUAUAUUUUAUGUAAUUUAAAUUUUUUUGAUUUUUUUUAUUUUUAUUAUAUCAAAUAUUUUGUUGGGGUGAUAUUAAAAUUUGAUGAACUUUUAAUUGUUUUAAGUCAUUAAUUUAUGAAUUAUUGAUCCAUUAGUAGUGAUUAUAAGAUUAAGUUACUUUAGGGAUAACAGCGUAAUUUUUUUGGAGAGUUCUUAUCGAUAAAAAAGUUUGCGACCUCGAUGUUGGAUUAAGAUAUAGAUUUAGGUGUAGUCGCUUAAAUAC